RNAcentral lists this ribosomal RNA (730 nucleotides) under uncultured bacterium. Its description in RNAcentral is "bacterial SSU rRNA". It matches the Rfam family "Bacterial small subunit ribosomal RNA", at positions 769 to 1501 of the family's 1533-position model. The record is from RNAcentral.
CUUAACAGGGAUUAGAACCCUGGUAGUCCACGCCCUAAACGAUGUACACUAGUUGUUGUGAGGCUCGACCUUGCAGUAAUGCAGUUAACACAUUAAGUGUACCGCCUGGGGAGUACGGUCGCAAGAUUAAAACUCAAAGGAAUAGACGGGGACCCGCACAAGCGGUGGAGCAUGUGGUUUAAUUCGACGAUACACGAAGAACCUUACCUGGACUUGACAUAGUAAGAAUGAUUUAGAGAUAGAUUAGUGUCUGCUUGCAGAAACUUGCAUACAGGUGCUGCACGGCUGUCGUCAGCUCGUGUCGUGAGAUGUUGGGUUAAGUCCCGCAACGAGCGCAACCCUCGUCCUUAGUUGCUAACAGUUCGGCUGAGAACUCUAAGGAGACUGCCUACGCAAGUAGGAGGAAGGUGAGGAUGACGUCAAGUCAUCAUGGCCCUUACGUCCAGGGCUACACACGUGCUACAAUGGGGUAUACAAAGAGCAGCAAUACGGUGACGUGGAGCAAAUCUCAAAAAUGCCUCCCAGUUCGGAUUGUAGUCUGCAACUCGACUACAUGAAGUUGGAAUCGCUAGUAAUCGUAGAUCAGCUAUGCUACGGUGAAUACGUUCCCGGGUCUUGUACUCACCGCCCGUCACACCAUGGGAGUUGAACUCAUUCGAAGCGGGGAUGCUAAAGUAGCUACCUUCCACAGUGGAUUCAGCGACUGGGGUGAAGUCGUAACAAGGUAACC